GGUUGGGUAGGUGUGUGUGGUGGGGCGUGGUCGUGUCUGUGUGUCUGUCUGUCGUCGUGCUAUGGUGAAUAGAGAGUGUGUUGUUGUGUGUUGUGGUGGUGCUGAGUGACACUAGCCGCUGCGCUGCCUGAUAGUGAGUGAGAGCGAGAGUGAGAGGGUGAGAGUGGUGUAGUGCGUGCGGUGGAUCAUAGCGAGGAAUGACAAUUGGACGGUGACAUGUGAUUAAUUUAAUAGUGAUGGUGAUGGUGUUGUGUGGUGUGGUGGGUGCUUAAGUGGUGAUAGUGUUGGUGAUGGUGGUGGAGCGGACCUGCCCCAUCACCACCACCUCCACCACCGCAGCGCCAGGGUGGGGGGGGGGAGUGGUGCUGGGUGAUGGACGAGUUAGCGUUGGUGCCACUAGGGUUGUGGGACAAAUUACACGAUCCCGGCGCUUGUCUGCUUGUUGCCCAACGAGUCGGGUUUGUCACCUGCCUCUCGUUCCGUCCGCGGCACAUCCCCCAUGGUACUCCCCUCCAUGGGUCUUGGAGGGGAGGACUUGGGAGGAGAGUGGAGGCAGGGACACUAGAGCGAAGGUAUGGGUGUCAUAUAUAUCUGCCAGCAGUGUACACGCUCCCCAUUGCCUCCCCGCGACAAAGUCUCAUCUUGUCUGCUCACAUACCAAUCCUAGGUAACAAUUUUUAUCGGGUAUACAAAUCACCAGAGCGGAGAGGCGACCGUGCGUACGGCGGAGAAAGCAGCGAGUGAUGCCAUAUCCGUCCCGGGCCACUCCUCUCGUUUCCCAGUCGUUUGUGAGCUCAUCUGGGUCAUUAGGUCUCAGGGCCUUGGUAAAGUGGAACUGAUGUCGUGUGUAGCGAGAAAAGGACCCCAGAAGCCACGCAAAGGGACGGAAACCCCGGCCAGGGCGCGCAGGUGUCCCGCUGCCGAGGGUCACCCGCGCCGCGCCGGGAUGUCGGAUGGCGAAGCUUAUGCAACCAGCUUUUCUUACUCUAAUACCCGCGUGGCACAUAUGGCACUGUUUGGGCCGUGUUUUUGGGUGUUUCCGGAACAUUUGCACGGAACUAAGUAGGGGAACGUGCCGGGGGGCAGUGCGGCCGCCGGGGGGCACCGAGAAAUGUCCAGGUUUCAAUCAUGUUCUGCACACGUGUGUUGACGUGGCACUCCCAAGGACUUGUUGACACGGAGGAAAUUGUUUCUUGUAAAUAUGUUAUUAAUAUGUUGUGGGUGCAGCAGAGGAAGCGAGGAAGGCACCCCGCCCCCCUCCCUUCCUUCUCCCUUUCGGCUCCGCCAAUCUGCUGAGCCAAGUGUUGCUUGCACCGUGCCGUCCCUGCCCGUGCUAUGCCAGGCGACCCUCGCCGUGCUGUGCUGCCCUCUGCUGUUCUGACAGUCGUGACUUGUGGCCACGAAACUCAGUCAGGUCCUUCAUAUGGAAAGCUCUCUGGAGCUCCGUACCGCCACACAGUCUCUACAAACGUGUAGGUUCUCCCCUCAGCAUGGCGGUGUUAGGUUCAGGCAAGGCAGGCUGCAUGAGAGUCAGAAAGCUGGAGCGGGUCUGUGCGGAGCGAGGCGGGGCAGGGCGGGGCAGUGCCACAGCCUGUACUGCCUGAAUAAUGAGAGCAACAUGAGAACUGAUGCUGAGGCUGAGGCCUGAGGCGGGAGCUGUGGGCCCUGGGGCUGAGAGCUAGGCUGUGAGGCAGGGCCUCGGGGGGAGGUGCCGUGAGUGGCCCGGGUGGCCCCUGACACAGGGCCAGAGCGGGAGGCAGUGGCGGGGUCGCGGCGCGGGUCCCAGGGCAGAGUUCAGCCAGAGUGCGGUUGGAGCUCGCACGGAGAAGGCCACCUGUAGUGCCGCCGCGCUGGCCGACGCAUCGACACGCUCCCUGCUGCCGGUCGUGAGUCUCCUCGGGGCAGCGGUGCAGCACACACCUGGGGCACCGCGCAGCCCGCACCUCGCGUCUGCUGGAAAUUUUAGUGAGGAAUCACUUGCUUUAGUCAACAGUGUGACGGUGACCGCCGCGAGGCACAACCUGGAGGCUGUUGCAACUUUGGCAACGUGAGUUAAUUGGGGUUUAGGCAACACUCAGUCCCGCGUCACGAAAGUUAAAGUGCUGCAGUUUUAGUAGUGCGGUUGUGAGGUGCCCCGCCCCUCCCCUCCUGCUGACUCGGGGCGCAGUGACCCCUGAAAGUGGCUGUGGCUCCUCGUAGUGGGUAGUUAGAUACUGCUGCAGGGCACCUGUUCGCCAGCGUGUGUGAGCAGCUCCCCUGGCAGUCCCGUCACUCCCGUGUGGUGAGCCUGGUAGUGGUCGGAGCCUCACGAAGCUCCGCCGUUCUGGUUCAGCUGCCUGAGAACAUUGACACGCGGCGAGUGGAAGCAGCGCCCCGUGCCGCCCGUGGAUACACAACAGCCGCAGCAUAGCAAGAAGAGGGAGAUAAAGGUACGUGGGUGUUCACUGUUGAGUCUGCCGCGCGUCUCGCCAGUCAAGUGUUGUUUGGGUGAGUGCAGGAAUCACUGUUUGUCUGAGGAGAGGCAAGGGAGGCGAGGCGAGAUGGCAAACACACUCCACGGUUUGAGAAAGUGGUGUGUGUGUGUGUGUGUGUGUGUGUGUGUGUGUGUGUGUGUGUGUGUGU
This 2622-nucleotide long non-coding RNA is filed under the name Portunus trituberculatus (swimming crab). RNAcentral describes it as "uncharacterized LOC123506329". Lineage: Eukaryota; Metazoa; Arthropoda; Malacostraca; Decapoda; Portunidae. The record is from RNAcentral.